GUUUGGAUGGAUGAAUGGUUGGCAGAGAACUUUAUUUCAGGUUGGAACUGCAGUCCUUAUAGUACUUAUUUUCUUCCUGUUCUUAAUCUGUUGUGUGUUCCCUUGCAUACAAAGGUACCUACAGAAAGCAGUGGGUAAGACUAUAGAUGACGCAACUCCUACCUCCCUACAUCAGGAUGUUACAGAACUAGACUAUGACGCACCACACACACCUCUUCAAC
This is a non-coding RNA of Pelobates cultripes (western spadefoot toad), 221 nucleotides long. Lineage: Eukaryota; Metazoa; Chordata; Amphibia; Anura; Pelobatidae. The record is from the annotation of a GenBank genome assembly.